GACAGUGGAGCGGAAUGGUUGGAGUGUUGGACUAUGACUCUGGAGACCAGGGUUCGAUUCCCAGCUCGGCCA
Molecule: non-coding RNA, 72 nt
Organism: Phrynosoma platyrhinos (Desert horned lizard)
Lineage: Eukaryota; Metazoa; Chordata; Lepidosauria; Squamata; Phrynosomatidae
Source: the annotation of a GenBank genome assembly